Molecule: long non-coding RNA, 702 nt
Organism: Uranotaenia lowii
Lineage: Eukaryota; Metazoa; Arthropoda; Insecta; Diptera; Culicidae
Exons: 3
Source: RefSeq, a predicted model, not a curated record
AAAUCGGUGUGGUCUUCUCGCCAGCGCCACAAAAUCAUGACAUCGAAAUUGCGGUUCAGCAAAUUUGUGCGCUAUCUCGCCGGAUUCGCGCGGAACAUAAUUUUCAACGCAGUCCGAGAGACGGAACGAAGUUGAUUCAGCAGUCGCAAUGUUCUGUGAGCGGUUAUUCUACAUCUGCCGCUAGUUCCAGUCAGGGACUAGACCGAUCUUUGAAGCGGCUGGAUUAAGGUGUAAAACGCUCUGGAAGAAUUUUAAGCCGAGAUCUGAAAGAUGUUCCGGAGGAAAUCCGUAUUAACCGUUCCGCUUCCAGCGCUCAAUCUUGACUGGUUAUAUUCGUUGUUGCGGCCACCUAGUUCCAGAAGGCCUUCCCGAGGUGCGUACAGCUCUGGUUCAGGAGUAAUGGAAAAAGAGCUUGAACGCAGCAAUGGACAUUUCCCACUACAACGCCCUUCUUCGGGUGUAUAUGGAUAAUGAGAAUUCCUUCUCGCCAACGGAAUUUCUGGCGGAUUGGCACCUAUCAGCGAUUAAUUUCGCGCUACUGCCAAGAGGGAGCAAACAAGGCUCUGGAAUUCUCUGGAAUUGAAAUUCUUGCGAGAGAAUCAGCUUCCAGUAAUUGGCAGCGUUUUCAACGCUGCGCCAGGACAAUUUGUUUUUCGCCACGUAUCGAUAUAGAGCGGCGCUAAAAAACGAUAUUCAAUAAAA